This 449-nucleotide ribosomal RNA is filed under the name Pseudomonas sp. AO2_08. RNAcentral describes it as "bacterial SSU rRNA". It matches the Rfam family "Bacterial small subunit ribosomal RNA", at positions 336 to 777 of the family's 1533-position model. Lineage: Bacteria; Pseudomonadati; Pseudomonadota; Gammaproteobacteria; Pseudomonadales; Pseudomonadaceae. The record is from RNAcentral.
CUCCUACGGGAGGCAGCAGUGGGGAAUAUUGGACAAUGGGCGAAAGCCUGAUCCAGCCAUGCCGCGUGUGUGAAGAAGGUCUUCGGAUUGUAAAGCACUUUAAGUUGGGAGGAAGGGUAGUAGCCUAAUACGUUGCUACUUUGACGUUACCGACAGAAUAAGCACCGGCUAACUUCGUGCCAGCAGCCGCGGUAAUACGAAGGGUGCAAGCGUUAAUCGGAAUUACUGGGCGUAAAGCGCGCGUAGGUGGUUCAGUAAGUUGGAAGUGAAAUCCCCGGGCUCAACCUGGGAACUGCUUUCAAAACUGCUGAGCUAGAGUACGGUAGAGGGUGGUGGAAUUUCCUGUGUAGCGGUGAAAUGCGUAGAUAUAGGAAGGAACACCAGUGGCGAAGGCGACCACCUGGACUGAUACUGACACUGAGGUGCGAAAGCGUGGGGAGCAAACAGGA